GACGCCGUCUAGUGGAGCGCUGGAGAACUGCAGUUCAGGAUCAACACGAGCUGCAGCAGCACACAGGAGACUGAAGCUUUAAACUCAUCCAGUUGUAAACAAAGUCAUCAUUUUGACAGGAUUUCGACUCGCAAAACAUCAUGUCUUCUGGUGAUGGAUCUACACUGAUAUCUGUUCAUUACGCUGCACAUGUCGUCUCUCUCUCGUCUCUGAUGGACUCAGUUCAGCUCAUGCAGCUCUCUGAAACAUGCUGAGGAUUUCAAGAAGAGAGAAGCCAUGUGCAGGAUCUGGAAAUACAGCUUUACAUGUGAACUGAAGCCAUGAGGAAGAGGAAGGUGGUUCUUCAUCAUAUCCUCACUGAUGAAGCCCUGACUUUACACUCUUUACCUAUAAUGUCCACCUGAUUACGGGCCUGUUUCAAUACACACACGUCUGCUCUUGAACACAUCAAAGCAUCUGAACAUGAUAUCUGAGGCUGAACGUUUCCCAUCAGGCAUCAUGUUCUAGUUCUAGUCUUCAGUGUUAAAGUUAUGCUGAUAAGAUCUAUAACCUGACAGUAAAAAUAAAGAAUUGCAGCAUUUAUGACUGUCAGAGCAGUCAGAUUGAGCUCAUUACUGUCACCUCAUUUACAGAUAAUAAACUACUGCUGCAGGUAAAGUGUAGACAGAGCACACGUGUCCUGUAAGAGCAUCAGACAUGUCGACUCCUGCAGUCUGAUAUUGAACACUUGAUCAAACACAGAAAACAGCAGCAAGAACACAAGAGCUCAAAGCAAAGACAGCAAGUGUUGCUAUUAAGACAGGCCCGAUUUUACACGUCACUAACUUAUUGAUUAUUAAUGUCUGCUGAUUAUUAAUGUCUGCUGAUUGUUAAUGUCUGCUGAUUAUUAAUGUCUGAUGAUUAUUAAUGUCUGCUGAUUAUUAAUGUCUGAUGAUUGUUAAUGUCUGCUGAUUAUUAAUGUCUGAUGAUUAUUAAUGUCUGCUGAUUAUUAAUGUCUGAUGAUUAUUAAUGUCUGAUGAUUUAAUGUCUGCUGAUUAUUAAUGUCUGAUGAUUAUUAAUGUCUGAUGAUUAUUAAUGUCUGAUGAUUAUUAAUGUCUGAUGAUUAUUCAUGUCUGAUGAUUAUUCAUGUCUGUCAUCUAAACUGAGCUUGUUGAUUUGGUCAGACAGAAUCAGCUAAAGUAAGAUGCUCUUACCGUCUGGUUCUUCUAGACGUCUCUUCUAGCUCAGGCUGAAUGUCUGUGUGAAGAUAAAGAGACUCGAGUGGUGAUGAUUGAUGCUUUUCAAUAUUUCAGCUCAUUUGUUUUAAAGAUCAGCUUAAACUAUAUUGUAGAUUCAUCACAUCAGCGCCCUCUAGUGGAGAAACACUGACAUCUCAGGAUUUUGUUGAGCAUCUUUCUAAAAUCAGGAUGGCAGAAAAAUGUGUGCUCUGAACCACUGAUUCAAUCAAAGAGUCAAAAUAAAGAUUCAAAUCAAAGAAUCAAUUUAAAGAAUCAAAUUAAAGAUUCAAAUGAAAGAUUCAGAGUUUAAUGAAUCAGUGAUUCAAAAGCAGCAUCACUGCAUUUUAGAGAUUUGUCUCACCUAUGUUUGAGUCGCGUCUUCUCUUCACACUCCUUUACUUUCCAUCUGUGCUGUGAAUAAAAACAUACAAACAU
This 1652-nucleotide long non-coding RNA is filed under the name Danio rerio (zebrafish). Its description in RNAcentral is "lncRNA si:dkey-14d8.24 (ENSDARG00000097044.3)". Lineage: Eukaryota; Metazoa; Chordata; Actinopteri; Cypriniformes; Danionidae. The record is from RNAcentral.